Podarcis lilfordi (Lilford's wall lizard) is the source of this 92-nucleotide non-coding RNA. The record is from the annotation of a GenBank genome assembly. NCBI's taxonomy places the organism in Eukaryota, Metazoa, Chordata, Lepidosauria, Squamata, Lacertidae.
GUCCUUUGGGGAAUGGCCAUAGCUCAGAGGUAGAGUGGUUGCUUUACACAUUGAAGGUCCUGGGUUCAGUCCCCAGCAUUCUAGAAAGGACU